AGUAUGGAAAGCCAAAGGGGACCCCCGCUAAAAUACAUAUACUUAUAUAGUAAAUAUCGGGAUUGUCAUUUUUCGCGGAACUUUCACUUUCCGCGAAAAACCAAUGCCAGCAUGGCCAUAAAACACUACAUACAAAUCGAAAUCUAAAAAGCGCGGAACUUUCAUAUAUUUUCCGUCGGAGCAAUUAUUUUUCAACCCUGUAGAAAAGGCGGGCUCAAUUAAUCGCGCGGAACGUUAUUUAUCUACUCUGUACAAAUAGUAGUGUUUAAAAUCGCGCGGAGAUUGUAGAAUGCUAUUUUAAGAAGUCUAUUAAAGAGAGAAAAUCCAGUAAAUACCAGAUCCAAAAAGCGCGGAACACAAAUAUCGUCCGCGAAAAUUAAGCAUUGAAUUACUGUACAAAUCUCGGGUUGUUAGGUGUUAGAAUCCCUAGUUACCCGAAAAAUUUGAUUGGAUCCGAUACUUAGAAAUAACCAAUCAGAUACUUUGUAACAAAUGCAACACAAUCAGUGCGUUCAGUAAGUAUAACGUUUCAAGAUGGCGGAGCGAAUUGCAUGGUUAUUGUUUCUACUCGAUGGAUUCGCAGAUAAUUCGGAAAUAGAUCAGAUUGGGAUCAAUAACUGUAUUGCAUACGAUCAUUUACAUGUAUUACCAGGUGUGUGUUGCCAGUAAUGGUUGAAGAUAUGCCAAACAAAUUGUGCCUCUCUAUACAGACAGAUUUCAGGUCUCCAUUUUGACUUCAAAGGUCAACAUAUCACUGAUAUCAGGAAUUCUGUACAACUGUGGAACCAUGUAUGGUACGUGACCGCACAAUGUUGGUUGGCAAAAGGAUAUUGGAAUAAGCAAAGGGACUCAACAUUACACAGUCAUUUCAACUUGUCAGCAAUGAUGGAGCAGUACAUCAGAUUUCCAGAAUCUCGUCAUGAGCUGAAGAUCAUUGCCUAUGGAUUUCAUGAAUGAUGUAGAAUGAUUGGACUGUUGAUGGAACCCACAGUGCAUGUCCUGCUUCAACAUCUGAGCAUAGGUCCUUGUUUAUCAGCAGUUUAGUUCUUCAAGCAGUCUAUGACAGUAACUUGAAAUGUUUGGACAUAUGACCUGGAUGGC
Long non-coding RNA from Dreissena polymorpha, 1101 nucleotides. RefSeq lists it as uncharacterized. NCBI's taxonomy places the organism in Eukaryota, Metazoa, Mollusca, Bivalvia, Myida, Dreissenidae. The record is from RefSeq and is a predicted model, not a curated record. The transcript is spliced from 4 exons.